RNAcentral lists this long non-coding RNA (2366 nucleotides) under Equus caballus (horse). RNAcentral describes it as "lncRNA (ENSECAG00000058109.1)". The record is from RNAcentral. Lineage: Eukaryota; Metazoa; Chordata; Mammalia; Perissodactyla; Equidae.
CAGAAACAGAGAGAGCAGACCUGGUCUUGGGAAUUUUAAUUACAUGAGCCAGAAAUUCAUUCCUUAACUCAGUAUGAGUUGGGUUUUUCUGUCACUUGCCGUUAAAUCAAUUCUAAGACGAAAUCUACCCAGCUGUGAUCAUGUUCAGAAUGGGACAGUUUGUCAGAUGCGAGAGCCUUCUGUGUGCCGGGCACUCUGCUGGGCCCUGGGGACACCCAGGGAUCAAUAAAUCAGGGCUUCUCUGCAAAAGGAUGCUGCUCCAAACACGUGAACUUAUUUCUACCCUCCUACCGACAACUAUGGAAUCUCUGUUUUUUCUAAGCAAGAUGUCCUUUUAUAAAGACUUGUGUGGGUAAGGGGAAAAGACAGGAGGAGAGAAUCCUGGUUGUGUAUUGUUGCUAUAAUUUCUUAACUCCUAGAGAAAUAGCUAGCACUUUAAUAAAAUUUUCUUUUUAGACGUGAAGAAGGAGAAGUGCUGUUAUUAUUUAAAUGACAGCCUUAGGCAGCAGUCCUUGAAGAGAGAGAGACAGCCGGAGCCAGAGAGUGUUAACAGAACUACCCGGCUGAAGGUGACCUUGAAUACGCUUCCUCUUAUCUAGAAGGAUCUCUAAAAUGAGUUAAGACAUGUGGGCUUUGGAAUCAGACUGUUGGACUCAAAUCCCUGCCCUGCCACUUAAUUGCUCUAUCACCUUGGGUCGCAGUAAUUUCUCUGGUUGUUGAGAGAGUCAAUGGAACCUCAGCUGUUCUGAUCAUCUGUAAUUCCACCAUUUCCACCACCAGAUACACACCUUCACUUCUUAGACAGACACUGCUUGCUGUCAGCAUCCAGGCCCACAAAUGGGAGAGAGAACAGCUAAAGACAGCAACCUGCUUGGCAUCCCCCUGCACACCAUAAUAGUCCUCAGGGUGAAGUAACCAUGGACAUCAGUGUCCACAGCAUCUUCAAGGUGGCUGUUAUGGAUAAAGAGGACAGGCCAAAAGGACAGUAUUGAGUCACAAAGUGGAAGACUGUAUCGGUUAAGAAAGCUUUUGAUUAUACAUGAUCCAGAAUGCUGAGAAGUUCAAAGCAGAAAAAUGAGAAGCAGAGAAACAUGGUUGGUAUCUCCUAAGAACUCUCUUGAGUCCACUGUCUUUACUCAGGACAAAAUGGAAAACAGAAAAAUUCAAGGCAAAAGCAAUCAUGGAGGGCAAACAGGAGAUUCAGUAAGGCCAUCAGCUGGCUGAACAAGAACUAGCCUGCUGAUAAGGAAGAAUUUGAGUGUCAUCAGGAAUACUGAAGAAUUCCAAAAUUCUGCAAGUUGAUCGUCACAAGCUGUACCAGGGAGCUGACAACAAGCCCUCGCAGGGGCAGAGCUCCACUGCCACAGUGUGUCUUGUCAGAGAGAGAUACCCACUAUCGAAGAAGGUGACCAUGCUGACCAGAAGAAAGCAUAUUCCACAGAUCUGUCGCAGAGUUUACAUAUGUGGCCCAGUCAGUUCACUAAGUCAGUUUCAAAGGUUGAUUUUAAACUAUGAAUUAAGCUGUGGAGAUAAACAGUUCUGAAUAUGUGUAAUAGCUCAACUAAAAUAGAAGUUCAUUUCCUGCUCACUUAACAGUCCAAGGCAGGUGUUCCUGGCUGAUGGAUGGUUCUUCUCCACACGGUGACUCAGGGAAUGACCCAGGCUCAUUUUGUCUUCUCUCCACCAGGGCCUCAUCCUCAUCAGCUGCCUCCAGUCAAUAGACGAGAAGUGAGAGAGAGAGGGGCACGCCUGCUGCUUUAAAGCCUUGUCUCAGAAAUGAUGUUCAUCACCAAAACUCAGUCACACGAUCUAACUGCAGGAAGGCUGGCCUACGUCGUCCAAUUGUGUUCCCAAAGAGUAGGGACAAGGGAUUGGUGGGGAGGACAGGGAACAGCUCGCAGUCUGCAGUUGUUUCAAUUGGGUCAUAUUUCAUAUACUUCAGAGAGUUUCAUCGCACUUCAGCAGUGUUAUGAGUGAAAAGUAACAUUUAUGUCUCAACAAAUAAAGAUCCACUUUAAAUCGGUGUCAUAAAAACAAGUAGAAUUUCUGGGUCAAAUGGCAUACAAAAUUCUAAAGGUUUUCAUUAAGUAUCGUCAAGUUGACCUUGAGAAGUUGUUCAGUUUAUACUCUCAUCUCCAUGCCAUCACCUACACCACUGCUAACAUUGCAUACAGUAUUAUCAUUUCAAAGCUUUUCAUAAACAAAAUAAAGUAUUCAAACAAUAGAGAAAAGAUGAGUGAGGAAUGUAAAAAAAAGUCACCAGAGGUAAUCACCACUAGUCUUUUGUUGACCACCUUUUCAUACGACUCUCUACACAGAGAUAUUCCACAGAAAAGAUAUUACAUUUGCCUUUUGAAAAAUUGUGA